This 253-nucleotide ribosomal RNA is filed under the name uncultured bacterium. RNAcentral describes it as "partial 16S ribosomal RNA". It matches the Rfam family "Bacterial small subunit ribosomal RNA", at positions 524 to 776 of the family's 1533-position model. The record is from RNAcentral.
UACGUAGGGUGCGAGCGUUAAUCGGAAUUACUGGGCGUAAAGCGUGCGCAGGCGGUUGUGCAAGCCGGAUGUGAAAUCCCCGGGCUCAACCUGGGAAUGGCAUUCGGGACUGCAAGGCUGGAGUGCGGCAGAGGAGACUGGAAUUCCUGGUGUAGCAGUGAAAUGCGUAGAUAUCAGGAGGAAUACCGAUGGCGAAGGCAGGUCUCUGGGCUGACACUGACGCUCAUGCACGAAAGCGUGGGGAGCAAACAGG